UACGAGGGGGCAAGCGUUGUUCGGAAUUACUGGGUGUAAAGGGUUCGUAGGCGGUGUGGCAAGUCGGGAGUGAAAUCUCUGGGCUCAACCCAGAGUCUGCUUCCGAAACUGCUGUGCUUGAGUGUGGGAGAGGCGCGUGGAAUUGCAGGUGUAGCGGUGAAAUGCGUAGAUAUUCGGAAGAACACCAGUGGCGAAGGCGACUCACUGGCCCGAUACUGACGCUGAUGCGCGAAAGCGUGGGAGCAACAGGAU
This 252-nucleotide ribosomal RNA is filed under the name uncultured bacterium. RNAcentral describes it as "partial 16S ribosomal RNA". It matches the Rfam family "Bacterial small subunit ribosomal RNA", at positions 524 to 778 of the family's 1533-position model. The record is from RNAcentral.